Molecule: ribosomal RNA, 465 nt
Filed under: uncultured bacterium
Lineage: Bacteria
Description: partial 16S ribosomal RNA
Rfam family: Bacterial small subunit ribosomal RNA
Source: RNAcentral
GAUGAACGCUGGCGGCGUGCUUAACACAUGCAAGUCGAACGGAAAGGCUCCUGCUUGCAGGGGUACUCGAGUGGCGAACGGGUGAGUAACACGUGGGUGAUCUGCCCUGCACUUCGGGAUAAGCCUGGGAAACUGGGUCUAAUACCGGAUAGGACGAUGGUUUGGAUGCCAUUGUGGAAAGUUUUUCGGUGUGGGAUGAGCUCGCGGCCUAUCAGCUUGUUGGCGGGGUAAUGGCCUACCAAGGCGUCGACGGGUAGCCGGCCUGAGAGGGUGUACGGCCACAUUGGGACUGAGAUACGGCCCAGACUCCUACGGGAGGCAGCAGUGGGGAAUAUUGCACAAUGGGCGCAAGCCUGAUGCAGCGACGCCGCGUGGGGGAUGACGGCCUUCGGGUUGUAAACUCCUUUCGCUAGGGACGAAGCGCAAGUGACGGUACCUGGAGAAGAAGCACCGGCUAACUACGUG